Molecule: ribosomal RNA, 367 nt
Filed under: uncultured organism
Description: bacterial LSU rRNA
Rfam family: Bacterial large subunit ribosomal RNA
Source: RNAcentral
CUUUACUAUAGCUUGUCAUUGAAUUUAUGUUUUUAUUGCUUAGAAUAGGUGGGAGCCUUUGAAGCCUUUCUUCCGGGGAAGGCAGAGGCGAAAUAUGAAAUACCACUCUGUAAAAAUGUGAAUUCUAACCACAAUUUAACCUACUGUGGGACAGUGACUGGUGGGUAGUUUAACUGGGGCGGUUGCCUCCUAAAUGGUAACGGAGGCGUUUAUUAAGGUAGGCUAGGCAUGGAUGGAAAUCAUGCCGGUAGUGCAAACGCAUAAGCCUGCUUGACUGCAAGGGCGGCGACCCGCGCAGGCACGAAAGUGGAAGUUAGUGAUCCGAUGCGUUCGAGUGGAAGACGCAAAGCCCAACGGAUAAAAGUUA